This 63-nucleotide transfer RNA is filed under the name Plectrocnemia tortosa. RNAcentral's name for it is "tRNA-Cys". Lineage: Eukaryota; Metazoa; Arthropoda; Insecta; Trichoptera; Polycentropodidae. The record is from RNAcentral.
AGCUUUAUAUUCAAUAUUAAUAUGAUAUUAAAUUGCAAAUUUAAAGUAGAAAAUCUAAAGCUU